CUGUUGCGUUAGCGAUUGAAAUGGCAUCCUUUUUAUGCAGAACUUGAAUCUGUAUCUUUAGGUUUAUUAAAUUGCUUUUGUUAUAAAUAAGCAGAAUCUUAACUAAAUUCUGCAUAAAAAGAUAUAAUGUAAAGCGCGACCCUUG
Molecule: small RNA, 145 nt
Filed under: Polaribacter sp. SA4-12
Lineage: Bacteria; Pseudomonadati; Bacteroidota; Flavobacteriia; Flavobacteriales; Flavobacteriaceae
Description: Flavo-1 RNA
Rfam family: Flavo-1 RNA
Source: Rfam by way of RNAcentral